Molecule: transfer RNA, 68 nt
Filed under: Scutopus ventrolineatus
Lineage: Eukaryota; Metazoa; Mollusca; Caudofoveata; Limifossorida; Scutopodidae
Description: tRNA-Gln
Rfam family: tRNA
About the family: Transfer RNA (tRNA) molecules are approximately 80 nucleotides in length. Their secondary structure includes four short double-helical elements and three loops (D, anti-codon, and T loops).
Source: RNAcentral
UAUAUAAAAGUAUAAGGAUACACAAAAUUUUGAUUUUUGAGAUGAAAGUUCGAAUCUUUUUUAUGUAA